GGAGCCUGUGGCACGGCUGGCCGUGCCCCCCUAAGCUGAGCACCUGGACUGAGCCUGCAGCGGGGGGCUCACCUUUGUGGCCAUGGCCCUCUCUCAGGUUGUUAAACCUCUCUCCUGUGUUUGCCUGGUCUGUAGGACUCCUGCCAAGGGAAGGCAG
RNAcentral lists this ribosomal RNA (157 nucleotides) under Crocodylus porosus (Australian saltwater crocodile). Its description in RNAcentral is "5.8S ribosomal RNA". The record is from RNAcentral. Lineage: Eukaryota; Metazoa; Chordata; Crocodylia; Crocodylidae.